This 680-nucleotide non-coding RNA is filed under the name Hoylesella timonensis CRIS 5C-B1. RNAcentral's name for it is "Prevotella timonensis CRIS 5C-B1 Bacterial large subunit ribosomal RNA". It matches the Rfam family "Bacterial large subunit ribosomal RNA", at positions 1 to 687 of the family's 2925-position model. The record is from Rfam by way of RNAcentral. Lineage: Bacteria; Pseudomonadati; Bacteroidota; Bacteroidia; Bacteroidales; Prevotellaceae.
AAGAAAGUAAAUAAGGGCGUAUGGCGGAUGCCUAGGCUCAUGGAGGCGAUGAAGGACGUGAUAAGCUGCGUUAAGCCUUGGGUAGGUGCAAAUAACCUUUGAUCCAAGGAUUUCCGAAUGGGACAACCCAACUAUCAUCAGAUAGUUAUUACUGUAAUCAGUAAGGCAAACGGAGGGAACUGAAACAUCUUAGUACCUCCAGGAGAAGAAAAUAAUUAAAUGAUUCCCUUAGUAGUGGCGAGCGAACGGGGAGAAGCCCAAACCACGGUUGUAGCAAUGCAAUCGUGGGGUAGUAGGACCAUAAUAUUGUACUUUGAUUGUGAAUAGAAUGAACUGGAACGUUCAGCCAUAGCGGGUGAAAGCCCCUUAUAUGAAGCAAGAGAAGACAUAGUGUCAUCCUGAGUAACGCGGAGCACGAGAAAUUCUGCGCGAAUCAGCCGGGCCCAUCCGGUAAGGCUAAAUACUCCCAUGAGACCGAUAGUGAACCAGUACCGUGAGGGAAAGGUGAAAAGAACCUCGAUGAGAGGAGUGCAAUAGAUCCUGAAACCAUACGCCUACAAGCGGUCGGAGCUGCUUUAUGCAGUGACGGCGUGCCUUUUGCAUAAUGAACCUACGAGUUACCGUCACCGGCAAGGUUAAGGAUAUUGAUAUCCGUCAACCGUAGUGAAAGCGAGCCUGAA